Long non-coding RNA from Tupaia belangeri chinensis (Chinese tree shrew), 2386 nucleotides. RefSeq lists it as uncharacterized. The transcript is spliced from 3 exons. The record is from RefSeq and is a predicted model, not a curated record. Lineage: Eukaryota; Metazoa; Chordata; Mammalia; Scandentia; Tupaiidae.
GGCGUGCGUGCGGGGCGGGGCCUCGGGGCAGAGACAACAGCCUGAGGUAAACAGCGACCGGGUAGAGUUGGAGGGCUGCGUCACUGGCUGAUGACCGGAUUGCAGCCGCGGUGCGGAAUGGGGCCAGGAUCGAGGAUUUGGGACCAGCUGACGCACAGACGCUGGUUGCAACCGUCGACACCGCCUUUCUAAGAGGCGGGGUUGGCCCUCCCAUUCUGUGGGUGGGGAGACUGAGGCACGGGAAUUGAGCGAAAGAGGUACAGGUGCGUGAGUGCCCCCGGGCUUCGGUGGACGCCACACUCUUUGUGUUUCGGGCGGAGAAACUGAGGCCUGAAAGGCGCCGGCCUUCCGGAGUGAUCUGUGUGUUGAGCUGACACGAGAACGUUCUGUGUGGGAAAACUCACUCUACACAGGAGGCGGCCGGGACCUGCCCGUAGGCCGCGUGUCCAGAGGAGGGCGCUGACCCCGGCUAGCCUGCCAUCUCUGUGGGGAGCCGCGAGCCCCGUAGUACCAGGAGACCCCAGGAACUUCCAGAGUAACAAGUUUGCCCUGCUUUGAACCCCAGGCCAGCCAGAAAACGCCAUUGUGCCCCAUCACCUGUCACAUAGCAGGCCCUGCCUUCGUUCUCAGGACCGCAGCCUCGCAACAGCCGUCCCAGCGCCGGCCCUUCUCCACUGUGAAGCUUCACUGGCUUCACUGCUGCCCUUAGAGUCUCAGCCAAACCGACCUCUCGCCAGCAAGCUCCGAGAGAAAGUCACUGUGCGGUGGCCGUGCAGACUUUGCUUAUUUCCACGUAGAGAAGGAUGACGCGAUCCUCGUUCUUCCAUUUGUUCAUCAAUUCCCAUUCUCAUUCUCAUUCAUUCAAGUAUUUACUAAACACCAGGGCAACAGAGUUCUAGAUGGCCCCAGGUGUAUAAUACCCUACAACUCUCAGGUUCCAUAACUGGGAGGAUGCCUGAAGCCUGAAGCACAACCUUCAAACAGCCUCACUAUAAAUCUGCCUUUCUGCCCAGGCAAAGUUUAUAGCAGAAGAAGGUACGGAGGGCAGUCAACCUUCUCAGAGGCGCCCCAGUCAGAGUUGGAGAACCAAGAAGAAUGGAAAAAUGGGAAAGAAAACUUGAAGAUCUGUUCCAGUUGACUACCUGCAGUCUCAUCUUCCCUACUUUAAAAACAAAGAAACAAAAACCCUUUUUUUUUAAGUAGUGGUCAUCAAACUUUUUGAUACUAUAUCACUGGAAAGAAUUUUUAAAUUUUUCUGUUCCAUAUUUCAAGGAGAGAUCUAAAAUACAGUCAUGCGCUGCAUGACAUUUCAGCGACAGACUACAUAUAUAAUGGCGGGCCUAUAUGGCUGUACCACAUGACCUAGGCGUGUAGAUGGCAUGUGGAAAAGCUGAGAAGUUGGAUAUUUAGAAGAGCAAGCCUGAAGCCAAGAAGGCUGAUGCCUGCAGCAACAUUAAAAAGGGUGACCCUUUCCCCAGGCUAAAAAAGCCCAAGAAGGGAAGUCGUUUUGCAGCUGAAAUCCAGUCCUAAUCUAAGGAACCAGCAGAUACUCUGCCAUAUGUUCCAGGAAGACCAUAUACAAAAGGAGAAACUUGGCCACUAAAUCCCAGAAUUGAAAAGAAAAAGGAGAAGAUUCUUGCCACUGACACAAAACCAGUUGACAAGAAUGGUGGUUAAAUCUCACAAAAUGCCUAGGUAUUAUCCUACUGAAGAUGAGCCUUGAAAGCUGUUGAACCAUGGCAGAAAAAUUUUCAGUCAGCAUGUGAGAAAGCUGUGAGCCAGACUCACUCCUGGGACCAUUUUGAUCAUCCUCACUGGACACCACAGAGGCCAGAGAGUGGUUUACCUGAAGCAACUGAACAGUGGCUUUCUACUUGUGGCUGGACCUCUGGUCCUCAAUAGAAUUCCACUACAUACAACACAUCAGAAAUUUGUCAUCACCACUUUUACGAAAGUUGAUAGCAAAGUAAAAAUUCCAAAAUACCUCACUGAUGGUUACUUCAAGAAAAAGAAGUUGCAAAAGUUCAGACACCAGGAAGGUGAAAUCUUCAACACUGAGAAGGAAAAAUACAAGAUUACAGAGUAGUGCAUGGUUGAUCAGAAGCUGUGAACUUGCAGAUUUUGCCGAAAAUCAAAGCUGUUCCUCAGCUCCAGGGCUACCUAUGACCCAUGUUUGCGCUUACAAAUGGAGUUUAUCCUCACCAAUUACUGCUCUAAAUUUCUUACAAAGAACAUAAUUAAAUAACUGACAAUAUAAAAAAAAACUUUUUGAAAGGCUUAUUAUUCUGAAAAGUAACAUUUCACAAUUCAGCAAAGUAACAAAUAUCUCAAAUCUUGGUAACUAAUUAUUAUGUAUAAGAUGAGAUACAGCGUCAUUCUAUUUAUA